UAGGGAAUAUUGGACAAUGGGGGCAACCCUGAUCCAGCCAUGCCGCGUGAGUGAUGAAGGCCUUCGGGUUGUAAAGCUCUUUUGGCGGGGACGAUGAUGACGGUACCCGCAGAAUAAGCCCCGGCUAACUUCGUGCCAGCAGCCGCGGUAAGACGAAGGGGGCUAGCGUUGUUCGGAAUUACUGGGCGUAAAGCGCACGUAGGCGGCAUUCUAAGUCGGAUGUGAAAUCCCUCGGCUCAACCGAGGACGUGCAUCCGAAACUGGAACGCUCGAGUAUGGAAGAGGGUCGCGGAAUUCUCGGUGUAGAGGUGAAAUUCGUAGAUAUCGGGAGGAACACCAGUGGCGAAGGCGGCGACCUGGGCCAAUACUGACGCUGAGGUGCGAAAGCGUGGGGAGCAAA
RNAcentral lists this ribosomal RNA (400 nucleotides) under uncultured bacterium. Its description in RNAcentral is "bacterial SSU rRNA". It matches the Rfam family "Bacterial small subunit ribosomal RNA", at positions 355 to 772 of the family's 1533-position model. The record is from RNAcentral.